CUUUGGUUAAAUUUGCUGUUAAGAAGUGGCCACAUACUACUUCAUAUGGUCAACGGAGAAUCAACAAAAUCAGUCAGGGAAUGAUGGUUUCCAGUGAGGUCUGUGCUGCUAUAGAGACGCUCUUACCCGUACCUGAGCUACCCAGUUAAAACAUUUGUGUCUGCAUCAAGUACACCCACACUUCUGGCCUCUGUUUAGACACGGAGCUAUCUCUCAAGUUAACUCAUUCUGGUUGGAGCAAGGCAUUUGGUAGUUUUCACCUAAAUCAACUGCUUGGAUUUAGAACUGUGUGGGUGCCUAAUUUUAACACAGUAUGUUAACUACUGCAAAAAUGUCCUCAUGGGAUUCUAGUUGGAGGCAGUCUGGGUUUUUCCCAGUUCCUAGUGUAUAUAAGUGAGGAUCAAGCCGGACAAAAAGAGGACAGGAUAAAUGGUGAGCUCUUAAUUCUGACUUCCGCCCUAUUGCGGUUGCUGGUGCAUCAGAAAGGCUCAUCCCUUGGUGUCUGACAGAAGGCACGCUGCCGGCUCUUUGUGCACCUCCUCACUGGCGGAGCAUGAGACACAAGGAAGUCCUUGAUUUAGGAUAAACAUGACUUAGCAACAACGAAGAAGUGAGUAUGUAAUCCACAUUAUUCUCAUACUGAAUCCUAAAGACAGCACUGCACCAGGUGCUGAGAAGAAAUUAACUCUAUUCCAGCCAAAACGCUGAUGUUUAUUCAGAGCAGGAUAUCUUCCAGCUGCACACCUCUAGUGAAAAUAGUGACAUAAUUAUCCUGUUUGACUGAAGGAAAACCCUGUCCUCAGCUGAAAAUAUACCAGUACAGUGUGUA
Molecule: long non-coding RNA, 829 nt
Organism: Empidonax traillii (willow flycatcher)
Lineage: Eukaryota; Metazoa; Chordata; Aves; Passeriformes; Tyrannidae
Exons: 4
Source: RefSeq, a predicted model, not a curated record